GCGAGUUUCAGAACUCCCAAACCCACUGUGAACAUACCACUGUCGUCUGCUUCGGCGGGCGGCCCCCGAGGGGGGGCCGGAGCUCCCAGGAGGGGGCGCCCGCCGGCGCGCCAAACCAAACCAGUUUGCAAUGUUUAGUUACCUUCUGAGUCGCUAGAAAAAUAACAAGUCA
This 172-nucleotide unclassified non-coding RNA is filed under the name uncultured Ascomycota. Its description in RNAcentral is "sequence contains ITS1". The record is from RNAcentral. Lineage: Eukaryota; Fungi; Ascomycota.